This 83-nucleotide transfer RNA is filed under the name Canis lupus familiaris (dog). It matches the Rfam family "tRNA". Rfam says of the family: Transfer RNA (tRNA) molecules are approximately 80 nucleotides in length. Their secondary structure includes four short double-helical elements and three loops (D, anti-codon, and T loops). RNAcentral also lists the same sequence under 1 other name. Lineage: Eukaryota; Metazoa; Chordata; Mammalia; Carnivora; Canidae. The record is from Rfam by way of RNAcentral.
GCCUGAGUGGCUCAGUGGUUGAGCGUCUGCCUUUGGCUCAGGGCAUAAUCCCGGAGUCCAGGGAUCGAGUCCCUCAUCGGGCU